UGGGGAAUAUUGCACAAUGGGCGCAAGCCUGAUGCAGCAACGCCGCGUGAGGGACGACGGCCUUCGGGUUGUAAACCUCUUUUAGUAGGGAAGAAGCGAAAGUGACGGUACCUGCAGAAAAAGCACCGGCUAACUACGUGCCAGCAGCCGCGGUAAUACGUAGGGUGCGAGCGUUGUCCGGAAUUAUCGGGCGUAAAGAGCUCGUAGGCGGUCUGUCGCGUCUGCUGUGAAAACCCGAGGCUCAACCUCGGGCCUGCAGUGGGUACGGGCAGACUAGAGUGCGGUAGGGGAGAAUGGAAUUCCUGGUGUAGCGGUGGAAUGCGCAGAUAUCAGGAGGAACACCGAUGGCGAAGGCAGUUCUCUGGGCCGUAACUGACGCUGAGGAGCGAAAGCGUGGGGAGCGAACAGGAUUAGAUACCCUGGUAGUCCACGCCGUAAACGUUGGGCGCUAGAUGUGGGGCACCAUUCCACGGUUUCCGUGUCGCAGCU
Molecule: ribosomal RNA, 489 nt
Filed under: uncultured bacterium
Lineage: Bacteria
Description: partial 16S ribosomal RNA
Rfam family: Bacterial small subunit ribosomal RNA
Source: RNAcentral